AUCAGAACACAGGAACCAUGCACAUUUACAAAUGUGAAGCUAAAUGUAAUUAAUUAGUCACUUAAAUAGAUGUAAAGCCCUAAGAGGGCAGCUGUGGCACUUCUAGCAAUAGUACUACUGUUGCUGUUCGUUAGCAAAACAUCUUCACAAUGACAACCAUUCACUACCACGCUUUACAGUGUCCAUAAUAGGAGCGAGGGCCAGGAUUACGAUUGUCUGCCCGGGCUGAGAGGGACUGUGGUUCUAUCUCAGUAAGAGGGAGAAUUGGGAUAAACAGCUCACAGAUUAUAGACACUGAGUUGAUGCGUCUGUCACUUUGGAUGAUAUCACAGGAGAGAGGUUGUAACUAAUCUAAAUUGGCCAGUUCAGCGAGCCACUUUCUCUGCACCUACCACACACAGCAUCAUCAAGCUGUUCCCUUGUCUAGAGAACCUGAAACAUGAACAGCAUCAGAGUCUUUCUCCAGCCACUCGUUUUCCUUCUGAUUGGAGUAGCUUCACACACCAGCAAGGCUCAGAACAAUUCAUCUAACUUCAACUCCACAAUUCCAGAAACAAACAACAGCACAACCCUCCCAUGCAACUGCCAGGACUGCCUGAUUGACCCCCUGUUGGUUUUAAUAGCAUUAGCCUGUGCUGGGGGCCUGGUCCUCAGUCUGCUGGUCACCACAGUGACUCUGGCCUGCCAGGUGUGCCAUUCGAGGCAUCAGGCCGGUGCCCCACGCCCCGCACGCAGCAACAUGGACCUAGUGAGUGGCACGGGCUACUGGGGCACGGACCACUCAGAGGGGGGAAUAGUAGGGCCCUGCGACGCAAGCGUCAUGUUGGAGGAGGUUGGGGUGGAUGGAAAGGAGGAUAAAAAAGAGGAGGAAGAGAGAGAGGAAGAUAGAGAGGAAGAGUUGGAGGAAAGAGAGCAGUGGAAUGCUGCAGAUGAAGACCAAACUGUGGAUUCAGGUACUACUGGAGAAAUGGCCAUGCAGAUGCAGAGUCCCAGGGAUUCAUUUUUGGAAGUUCCACAGGAUCUAGAGAACAUGCCUCUAGUGGUGUGAAUACAUUGUUGCUUACACUCCUUCACCAGCCUCACAGAGCCAUGGCCUGGCUAGGAGCUGAACUUCACUCAGGCACCGAUAUUAACAGGCCAGCUCAGCUCCAGUCUAGUGCCGCAACAAGUUAAGAGCAGUUUUUUCUAUUGUCAUUAUUAAGCCUGCUACAUGUAAUCAAUUUAGGAGCAUUUACAUUUGUUUUGUCAAACUUUGUUAGAUAAACUCACAUUCGCUUUGUAAAAUACAUUUAUCUGAUGUAUAUUAAUUUCUGUUAAAUCUGAGGUUAAGAUUUACACUUAGUGGCCAGUUUAUUUAGGUAACCCCUUCUAAAGCCAUGUCGGACAAGACUUUGCCUUUUGCCUCCAGAACAACCUGAAUUCUUCAGAGCAUGGAAUCUGCAAGGUGUCGCAUGCGUUCCAAAGGGGAAUUUCUAUCGAACAAGCUCAGAUAUGCUCAUUGUUUGCAGGACCGAUUAAUUUUUGUGAACUGGUUGGUGUACCUAAUAAACUGUCCACUAAU
Molecule: long non-coding RNA, 1561 nt
Organism: Esox lucius (northern pike)
Lineage: Eukaryota; Metazoa; Chordata; Actinopteri; Esociformes; Esocidae
Exons: 3
Source: RefSeq, a predicted model, not a curated record